CUAUACAUGCAGUCGAACGCACAGCGAAAGGUGCUUGCACCUUUCAAGUGAGUGGCGAACGGGUGAGUAACACGUGGACAACCUGCCUCAAGGCUGGGGAUAACAUUUGGAAACAGAUGCUAAUACCGAAUAAAACUUAGUGUCGCAUGACACAAAGUUAAAAGGCGCUUCGGCGUCACCUAGAGAUGGAUCCGCGGUGCAUUAGUUAGUUGGUGGGGUAAAGGCCUACCAAGACAAUGAUGCAUAGCCGAGUUGAGAGACUGAUCGGCCACAUUGGGACUGAGACACGGCCCAAACUCCUACGGGAGGCUGCAGUAGGGAAUCUUCCACAAUGGGCGAAAGCCUGAUGGAGCAACGCCGCGUGUGUGAUGAAGGCUUUCGGGUCGUAAAGCACUGUUGUAUGGGAAGAACAGCUAGAAUAGGAAAUGAUUUUAGUUUGACGGUACCAUACCAGAAAGGGACGGCUAAAUACGUGCCAGCAGCCGCGGUAAUACGUAUGUCCCGAGCGUUAUCCGGAUUUAUUGGGCGUAAAGCGAGCGCAGACGGUUUAUUAAGUCUGAUGUGAAAGCCCGGAGCUCAACUCCGGAAUGGCAUUGGAAACUGGUUAACUUGAGUGCAGUAGAGGUAAGUGGAACUCCAUGUGUAGCGGUGGAAUGCGUAGAUAUAUGGAAGAACACCAGUGGCGAAGGCGGCUUACUGGACUGCAACUGACGUUGAGGCUCGAAAGUGUGGGUAGCAAACAGGAUUAGAUACCCUGGUAGUCCACACCGUAAACGAUGAACACUAGGUGUUAGGAGGUUUCCGCCUCUUAGUGCCGAAGCUAACGCAUUAAGUGUUCCGCCUGGGGAGUACGACCGCAAGGUUGAAACUCAAAGGAAUUGACGGGGACCC
This 891-nucleotide ribosomal RNA is filed under the name Leuconostoc mesenteroides. Its description in RNAcentral is "bacterial SSU rRNA". It matches the Rfam family "Bacterial small subunit ribosomal RNA", at positions 49 to 922 of the family's 1533-position model. The record is from RNAcentral. Lineage: Bacteria; Bacillati; Bacillota; Bacilli; Lactobacillales; Lactobacillaceae.